UACGUAGGGGGCAAGCGUUGUCCGGAAUCAUUGGGCGUAAAGCGCGUGUAGGCGGUCCGGUAAGUCGGUUGUGAAAGUCCAGGGCUCAACCCUGGGAUGCUGAUCGAUACUGCCGGACUAGAGUCCGGAAGAGGCGAGUGGAAUUCCCGGUGUAGCGGUGAAAUGCGUAGAUAUUGGGAGGAACACCAGUGGCGAAGGCGGCUCACUGGACCGGUACUGACGCUGAGGCGCGAAAGCCAGGGGAGCAAACGGG
RNAcentral lists this ribosomal RNA (253 nucleotides) under uncultured bacterium. RNAcentral describes it as "partial 16S ribosomal RNA". It matches the Rfam family "Bacterial small subunit ribosomal RNA", at positions 524 to 776 of the family's 1533-position model. The record is from RNAcentral.